CUUCCCCAGGGCUGGAGCACGCCCAGCAUGUGGGUCGGGUUAUGGAUGGCUGCAACCCCUACCCAGCUACGGAUUGGGGGUCUGCAAUAUUGCUGUUGACAUGCCAACUCCUUUCUGUGAAACUCCAGCAAAAACGACCGGCUUGAUCCUGCUAUUCAUUGUACAGGAACGUCUCCCAGUUGUGCGUUAAACCAGUGUGCACAGUAGUGUGUGUUGGAGAAGGCCAAGUCAGAAGUACGCCAUCCGUCUGAAGGUGGUGAAAUCUGUGAUGAUCCUCGUAGUUCCCAGAAGAGUUUGUUGCAUCUCUUUGGAGUAUUCCUAAACAAAGCUGUCUCUUGUCUUUGUGCUCUGGUGAGCCCCUUCAAUAAACAACGGGAAGAGAGCUUUCGAAGGGCCGAGAGAUGAAUUUCAAGGCAGAGUGAUGAAGAAGACUUUCUUUCCAGCGCUUUUGAACUUCCAUCGUAUUAGAAAUCCCAGUGGCAAAUAAAAGGAAGAGAACAAGGUAUUUUGCCUUUGAAUCAAGGAACUAAGUCGGCUUUCAAAAUUUUAUUUGAAGUAAAUAAAACGAGAUUUGGGGGUUUGUUUGUUUGUCAUUUGUUUACUUACGAGAGGGUGAAAAUCUUGCCCCGGUUCAAGGAUGAGACAUCGUCUCUCCCCUUUCCAGUUCUAGUCUGCUUGGGAGCAGAGCAGCCAGUGUUAAAAGGAGGAAAGGACAGGGCCUGGUGCUCUUAGAAAAUGGGCAAAACAUGCUAUUCUCUCAUAAAAGAGAUGUUCUCUCUCUCUCUGCAUGCGCUACAAAGAGAGCAUGCAGUGCUCCUGCUUCAUUUGCAUUCCUGUGUAGCUGUUACUGUUUUCAAGUCCCAGGAUGUGAUGCUGAUGAAAGACAGUUAAUUCAAUUUCUACAGAGAAAUUGAUUAAUGGACUGGAUUAAAAUAAAUCCCCGGUGUCCUGGGUCUCCGCAAAGCAUACCAAUUCCAUUUUAUCUCCCAGUUCCCUCCUUCUCGCCUGCCACUUUGACAAUGGGUUGGGGAAAAAGAAAAGGGAUCGAAAGGAAGGGUGCUUAAAAAAAAAAAAGAGGAAGAGAGAUGAGAAAUGGCAGAUUCCUGA
Molecule: non-coding RNA, 1107 nt
Organism: Pelodiscus sinensis (Chinese soft-shelled turtle)
Lineage: Eukaryota; Metazoa; Chordata; Testudines; Trionychidae
Source: RefSeq, a predicted model, not a curated record